RNAcentral lists this ribosomal RNA (253 nucleotides) under uncultured bacterium. RNAcentral's name for it is "partial 16S ribosomal RNA". It matches the Rfam family "Bacterial small subunit ribosomal RNA", at positions 524 to 776 of the family's 1533-position model. The record is from RNAcentral.
UACGUAGGGGGCAAGCGUUAUCCGGAUUUACUGGGUGUAAAGGGAGCGUAGACGGCCAGACAAGUCUGAAGUGAAAAUCCAGCGCUUAACGCUGGAAGUGCUUUGGAAACUGCCGGGCUGGAGUGCAGGAGGGGCAGGCGGAAUUCCUAGUGUAGCGGUGAAAUGCGUAGAUAUUAGGAGGAACACCAGUGGCGAAGGCGGCCUGCUGGACUGCAACUGACGUUGGGGCUCGAAGGCGUGGGGAGCAAACAGG